CGGCGGACGGGUGAGUAACACGUGGGUAACCUACCUAUAAGACUGGGGCAACUUCGGGAAACCGGAGCUAAUACCGGAUAAGAUAUCGAACCGCAUGGUUCGAUAGUGAAAGAUGGUUUUGCUAUCACUUAUAGAUGGACCCGCGCCGUAUUAGCUAGUUGGUGAGGUAACGGCUCGCCAAGGCAACGAUACGUAGCCGACCUGAGAGGGUGAUCGGCCACACUGGAACUGAGACACGGUCCAGACUCCUACGGGAGGCAGCAGGGG
RNAcentral lists this ribosomal RNA (267 nucleotides) under uncultured Staphylococcus sp. RNAcentral describes it as "partial 16S ribosomal RNA". It matches the Rfam family "Bacterial small subunit ribosomal RNA", at positions 96 to 357 of the family's 1533-position model. The record is from RNAcentral. Lineage: Bacteria; Bacillati; Bacillota; Bacilli; Caryophanales; Staphylococcaceae.